UGGGCAGACUUUUAGCGGCUUACUUAGAUCACCUAAAGGCUAUUAGCACUUUUAAUUGCAUAUGCACACUGACAAGAUAAAAUAGGUACUGAUUAUAAGGCCAACUGAAGAUUCAGUUAUCAUUUAAAAUUGAUGAUUAAUAUACACUCCAAUCAAAAGUUUGAAUUUGAGGAAAUAGCUACUUACCUAAAAUAAAAGUGUAAAACACAGAGUAUAUAUCACACCCUUGACC
This 232-nucleotide long non-coding RNA is filed under the name Elaeis guineensis (African oil palm). Its description in RNAcentral is "long non-coding RNA (EGUI_LNC057731)". Lineage: Eukaryota; Viridiplantae; Streptophyta; Magnoliopsida; Arecales; Arecaceae. The record is from RNAcentral.